GAAGGUGUCCCUUCUUGGGCUGUAGGUUGAGGGUUCAAACCUCACCUGCAGCGAAAAAAAUCUAAAGGUUGUGUCAUAGCACUUCCUUGAUCUAGUUGAGUCUGUAUACCCACUAGCCUCUACCACAACCUCCUUAGACUCCCCCUCCCCCUAGAUUAGGGUAGAAUAGGUUAUCGUUGCUGACAAAAAAAAAAAAAAAAGAUCACACCAUAUGCUAUUUAGCUAGUACUACCAAC
Molecule: long non-coding RNA, 236 nt
Filed under: Coffea arabica (coffee)
Lineage: Eukaryota; Viridiplantae; Streptophyta; Magnoliopsida; Gentianales; Rubiaceae
Description: long non-coding RNA (CARA_LNC005333)
Source: RNAcentral